CUUUGCCUACGGGAGGCAGCAGUGGGGAAUAUUGCACAAUGGGGGAAACCCUGAUGCAGCGACGCUGCGUGAAGGAAGAAGUAUUUCGGUAUGUAAACUUCUAUCAGCAGGGAAGAAAAUGACGGUACCUGACUAAGAAGCCCCGGCUAACUACGUGCCAGCAGCCGCGGUAAUACGUAGGGGGCAAGCGUUAUCCGGAUUUACUGGGUGUAAAGGGAGCGUAGGCGGUUUAGCAAGUCAGAAGUGAAAGCCCGGGGCUUAACUCCGGUACUGCUUUUGAAACUGUUGAACU
Molecule: ribosomal RNA, 292 nt
Filed under: uncultured bacterium
Lineage: Bacteria
Description: partial 16S ribosomal RNA
Rfam family: Bacterial small subunit ribosomal RNA
Source: RNAcentral